CCUCUACCAUUCCUCUUAGUCUUUAAAGUAGGAGUUUCUUAUGUCAGGCGUCCCAACUUUCUCACAAGGCCUCUACAACAAACAACACAUUUCAUCUUUUGGGUUHAUUUUUUCUUCCUUGUCCUUUUUUACUUUGCUUGCUGUGAUUGGCUAAACGCCUUUUUUUAUUGCUUGCUGCAUUGCUAAAACUAAAAUCCCUCUUUUUUGCUCAAACCUUUGCCAAUCUGUUCUAUUUUCAUGUCUAAUUUCCACUCUAAACUUAUAGCCCAGCAGUCAGACGUUUUGACUGAGUKGCUUCUGCUUGUAAACCUUG
Molecule: long non-coding RNA, 313 nt
Filed under: Dunaliella salina
Lineage: Eukaryota; Viridiplantae; Chlorophyta; Chlorophyceae; Chlamydomonadales; Dunaliellaceae
Description: long non-coding RNA (DSAL_LNC000355)
Source: RNAcentral